CAGUGGGGAAUUUUGCGCAAUGGGGGAAACCCUGACGCAGCAACGCCGCGUGGAGGAUGAAGUACUUCGGUACGUAAACUCCUUUCGAUCGGGACGAUAAUGACGGUACCGGAAGAAGAAGCCCCGGCUAACUUCGUGCCAGCAGCCGCGGUAAUACGAGGGGGGCAAGCGUUGUUCGGAAUUAUUGGGCGUAAAGGGUGCGUAGGCGGUUUGGUAAGUCUUUUGUGAAAUCUAUGGGCUCAACUCAUAGACUGCAAGGGAAACUGCCGGGCUUGAGUGUGGGAGAGGUGAGUGGAAUUUCCGGUGUAGCGGUGAAAUGCGUAGAUAUCGGAAGGAACACCUGUGGCGAAAGCGGCUCACUGGACCACAACUGACGCUGAUGCACGAAAGCUAGGGGAGCAAACAGGAUUAGAUACCCUGGUAGUCCUAGCCCUAAACGAUGACUGCUUGGUGUGACGGGUACCCAAUCCCGCCGUGCCGUAGCUAACGCGUUAAGCAGUCCGCCUGGGAGUCCGCGACAAGGG
Molecule: ribosomal RNA, 524 nt
Filed under: uncultured bacterium
Lineage: Bacteria
Description: bacterial SSU rRNA
Rfam family: Bacterial small subunit ribosomal RNA
Source: RNAcentral